RNAcentral lists this ribosomal RNA (253 nucleotides) under uncultured bacterium. RNAcentral describes it as "partial 16S ribosomal RNA". It matches the Rfam family "Bacterial small subunit ribosomal RNA", at positions 524 to 776 of the family's 1533-position model. The record is from RNAcentral.
UACGUAGGUGGCAAGCGUUGUCCGGAUUUACUGGGUGUAAAGGGCGUGUAGCCGGGAAGGCAAGUCAGAUGUGAAAUCCGGAGGCUCAACCUCCGAAUUGCAUUUGAAACUGUUUUUCUUGAGUACUGGAGAGGCAGACGGAAAUCCUUGUGUAGCGGUGAAAUGCGUAGAUAUAAGGAGGAACACCAGUGGCGAAGGCGGUCUGCUGGACAGCAACUGACGGUGAGGCGCGAAAGCGUGGGGAGCAAACAGG